GUAGGUGAACCUGCUGCUGGAUCAUUA
Molecule: ribosomal RNA, 27 nt
Filed under: Pratylenchus penetrans
Lineage: Eukaryota; Metazoa; Nematoda; Chromadorea; Rhabditida; Pratylenchidae
Also listed under: 22 other names
Description: partial 18S ribosomal RNA
Source: RNAcentral